Molecule: long non-coding RNA, 1110 nt
Filed under: Chrysolophus pictus (golden pheasant)
Lineage: Eukaryota; Metazoa; Chordata; Aves; Galliformes; Phasianidae
Description: lncRNA (ENSCPIG00010007978.1)
Source: RNAcentral
AUGGGAAGGGACACCCAAACCCCAACCGCAGUGCUGCACAGCGCUCAGCCGCGGACGGGCUGUAUGUUGAGACCAUCGCAGUGCUAUGGAACGAGCUUUGGGAACGCAGGGGCAACUCUGGCCGGGCAGCCAGCUGCACUCCGGUCCGGUUGGCAACUUCUAUGGAAAGCGCAGGGGUAAAGAGAGCAGCGCUGUUAAAAUCCAAAACGCAAACCUAAAAUAAACAGGGUUAGGGCUGGAGGGCAGUACAAAUAUUUACAGCUAACACUCAGACGCAGAACAACCUCCGCUUUGCCAACAUUCGCACAACCUAAACUUCAGCCCUUCCCAGCAGCGCUCAUCCUUGGGGCACACGGAGCUGCAGCACGGUCAGGAGAUGCGCCAGAGCCCCGGGGCAGCCCGAGGAGCCCUACGGCAACCCGGGCCUGACCCACACUCGCCGUCGGCAGCUCGCUAAGCUCCUUCUAAUUGCGGCAGCCUGCGGGUUAUUAUCAUUUAAACGCUCAGAGCACAGCGCGGAGGAACGGCUUUGUUCGCCCCGAGCCCGCUCCCAUCCGCCGCAGCUCUCACCUGGAGGGCCGGAGCCGCACCUCCUUCUUGCUGUCCACCACCGAGGGCACGCAGUUGGUCAGCUCGGUCCAGUCGGCGUGCAGCCCGCAGCUCCAGCCGGUGGAGAAGCGCGAGAAGAGCCACGUCUCCCGCUUGCCGGGCCGGUGGCAGGUGCACUUCUUCUGCCCGGCGCGGCACUCGCAGGGCUGCUCCAGCUGGAUGUUGCGGACCAGGUGGCGGCCGAAGGUGGUGCCGCCCGUCUUCUGGAUGUGCAGGAAGACGAUCAGGUCGUCCCCUUUGAUGUUGAAGUCCACCCUCCGCAGCAAAUCGCCGGCGGAGAAAUUGAAACGAGGCACGAAGCGGGCCGGCGUCUCGUCCUCCGCCCGGUACGGGUCGGCGGCUGCGGCGGGGCUGAGGGCGCGGAGCCGCAGCAGCUGGCACUCGGUGCCGGGGCAGACGUACUGCAGCACGAUCACCGCGAAGAGGAAGAGCAUCACCAGCGCCCGCAGNNNNNNNNNNNNNNNNNNNNNNNNNNNNNNNNNNNNNNNNNNNNNNNNNNNN